GUGGGGAAUUUUGGACAAUGGGCGCAAGCCUGAUCCAGCAAUGCCGCGUGCAGGAAGAAGGCCUUCGGGUUGUAAACUGCUUUUGUACGGAACGAAACGGUCCUGGUUAAUACCUGGGGCUAAUGACGGUAGCGUAAGAAUAAGCACCGGCUAACUACGUGCCAGCAGCCGCGGUAAUACGUAGGGUGCGAGCGUUAAUCGGAAUUACUGGGCGUAAAGCGUGCGCAGGCGGUGCUGUAAGACAGGCGUGAAAUCCCCGGGCUCAAACUGGGAAUUGCGCUUGUGACUGCAGUGCUUGAGUACGGCAGAGGGGGAUGUAAUUCCGCGUGUAGCAGUGAAAUGCGUAGAUAUGCGGAGGAACACCGAUGGCGAAGGCAGUCCCCUGGGCCUGUACUGACGCUCAUGCACGAAAGCGUGGGGAGCAAACAGGAUUAGAAACCCCGGUAGUCC
Molecule: ribosomal RNA, 450 nt
Filed under: uncultured bacterium
Lineage: Bacteria
Description: partial 16S ribosomal RNA
Rfam family: Bacterial small subunit ribosomal RNA
Source: RNAcentral